UUCAUGAAAAGAUAUCUGCGUAAAAGAGAAGGCAGGGGUAGGGAAUGCGUCCACAAUAGAGCUAACCACCGUAACCUCAACCUGCUAAGUAACUUAAACACUGAAGCUGGAAGCGAAAACAAACAGGAAGAAGUCCUUAUAGCUGACAGAGAAGCUGCGAGACAUAUGCAUAACUCUAUAAUGCAAUUGAAACCCACCAUGGAACCAAGCGGAUAAAGAUGUGGAAAUAGACAACGGAAGUGCAUAAAGAGGCUGACAAUAUAAUGAGAUGAGGGCAUCAGAAAGCAAUUGGUGAUGCUUCUGGAUAGAAGUCCUGAUGCAAUAUUCUAUAAUUGAUUGGGAUCAUCAGAGGAU
This 354-nucleotide long non-coding RNA is filed under the name Elaeis guineensis (African oil palm). Its description in RNAcentral is "long non-coding RNA (EGUI_LNC027134)". Lineage: Eukaryota; Viridiplantae; Streptophyta; Magnoliopsida; Arecales; Arecaceae. The record is from RNAcentral.